CUGCCCGCCUGUGAGCUGUGCUUCGCACUGAUGGGCUCUUGGAUGCUCCAAAGGAAAAUAGCAGCGAAACCUGCUGCUUUUCACUUUCAAAUGACAGACCCGUAGGAAGCCUGGGGGCAAUGCCACAGAGGAUGUAAAAGCUCUCAGGUCCACCCUGAGCUUUGGAAUGAGAAGAGAAUGGUGAUGUCCUUUUGCUGCUGCCUGUCACUCUUCCACAGCAACUGAGCCAGGCUAGCGAGCCUGUCUUGUGACUUGGCACUACACAGAGCCGCUCGCUAAACACCUAAAGGCCCACGCUUUAUGCUUCUUGUGAGGGAGAAACACAAUUGUGUUCAGCCCUUACUGAGAAGCCGGAGCAAAAAUUGAAUGUGUGUGACUGUUUUCCAGAGCCUGACAUACCAAGGAUACUUAGAGCACAGUCACUGAGUGAGCGGAUGCCUGGAUCCAGCCACCUAAAGAGGUUCUUCCAGAUGCUUCCAGCCCUCAGCAGAUUGCCAUCAGCAGUCCACACCCGGCUGGUUUGCACCUCCCUCUGCUGGACUUUGAGCUGCGCGCCAAAAGAAAGAUGCACCUGAUGGAGGUGCUUUCUUUAACCGACAUACAGUUGAAGGAAAGACGGUCUCCUGAUGGAUGUCUGCAAUGAUUAAGAGGGAAUGCUUCUGGUACCCUUUCCCUCGGAUGCCCGUGAAGGGCUCGGGCAUCACCAGCCACUGUCCCAGCCCGGGCUCUAAGUCUGACCCAAGCCGAAGUGCCUGCGCCCCGCUAUGCGCUCCAUCACCAC
Molecule: long non-coding RNA, 781 nt
Filed under: Mus musculus (house mouse)
Lineage: Eukaryota; Metazoa; Chordata; Mammalia; Rodentia; Muridae
Description: lincRNA-EC76
Source: RNAcentral